This 253-nucleotide ribosomal RNA is filed under the name uncultured bacterium. Its description in RNAcentral is "partial 16S ribosomal RNA". It matches the Rfam family "Bacterial small subunit ribosomal RNA", at positions 524 to 776 of the family's 1533-position model. The record is from RNAcentral.
UACAGAGGUGGCAAGCGUUGUUCGGAAUUACUGGGCGUAAAGGGCGCGUAGGCGGCCUUCUAAGUCGGACGUGAAAUCCCCAGGCUUAACUUGGGAACUGCGUCCGAUACUGGAGGGCUUGAGUGCGGGAGAGGGAUGUGGAAUUCCAGGUGUAGCGGUGAAAUGCGUAGAUAUCUGGAGGAACACCGGUGGCGAAGGCGGCAUCCUGGACCGACACCGACGCUGAUGCGCGAAAGCCAGGGGAGCAAACGGG